AAAGCCAAAAAGUUGACUACUUGCGAAUGCAUGAUGAAACCAAUGUAAAGGAGACUAGGUCUGAGCUUGGACACCAAAUUUUGUCUCCCUCUGGGAAGCUUUAGUUACAUGAGGUUCUUCCCUCAAUGACCUGAAUUUGGAGAAAAGGCGUUC
Long non-coding RNA from Rhodamnia argentea, 153 nucleotides. RefSeq lists it as uncharacterized. The transcript is spliced from 3 exons. NCBI's taxonomy places the organism in Eukaryota, Viridiplantae, Streptophyta, Magnoliopsida, Myrtales, Myrtaceae. The record is from RefSeq and is a predicted model, not a curated record.